This 1819-nucleotide ribosomal RNA is filed under the name Elysia cornigera. RNAcentral describes it as "bacterial LSU rRNA". It matches the Rfam family "Bacterial large subunit ribosomal RNA", at positions 634 to 2437 of the family's 2925-position model. The record is from RNAcentral. Lineage: Eukaryota; Metazoa; Mollusca; Gastropoda; Plakobranchidae.
UUAGUGGCAAGGUUAACCGUUUAGGGUAGCCGUAGGGAAACCGAGUCUUAAUAGGGCGUCACAGUCGCUAGGAGUAGACCCGAAACCAAGUGAUCUAUCCAUGGCCAGGUUGAAUGUGGGGUAAUACCCACUGGAGGACCGAACCCACUAACGUUGAAAAGUUACGGGAUGAGCUGUGGAUUGGAGUGAAAGGCUAAACAAACUUGGAGAUAGCUGGUUCUCCGCGAAAGCUAUUUAGGUAGCGCCUCAUGUAUAACUUCUGGGGGUAGAGCACUGUUUCGGCUAGGGGGGCCUCACCGGCCUUACCAAACCGAUGCAAACUCCGAAUACCAGAAAGUUUAAGCAUGGGAGACACACGGCGGGUGAUAAGGUCCGUCGUGAAAAGGGAAACAGCCCAGACCGCCAGCUAAGGUCCCUCAGUGAUAGUUAAGUGGGAAACGAUGUGGGAAGGCCCAGACAGCCAGGAGGUUGGCUUAGAAGCAGCCACCCUUUAAAGAAAGCGUAAUAGCUCACUGGUCGAGUCGGCCCGCGCGGAAGAUUUAACGGGGCUUAAACUAUCCACCGAAGCUGCGGGUGUGCACUAUGUGCAUGCGGUAGCGGAGCGUUCUGUACGCUGUCGAAGGUAAACUGAGAAGUUUGCUGGAGGUAUCAGAAGUGCGAAUGCUGACAUGAGUAACGAUAAAGCGGGUGAGAUGCCCGCUCGCCAGAAGUCCAAGGUUUCCUGCUCUACGCUAAUCGGAGCAGGGUGAGUCGGCCCCUAAGGCGAGGCAGAAAUGCGUAGUCGAUGGGAAACAGGUCAAUAUUCCUGUACUCAAACUUAUUGCGAUGGGAGGACGGAGAAGGCUAGGCCAACCGGAGAUUGGUUGUUCCGGUUUAAGUGUGUAGGCUGAGUGUUUAGGAAAAUCCGGCACUUAAGGCUGAGACAUGAUGACGAGCUUCUUUAUUGAAGUGAAGUGGUUGAUGCCAUGCUUCCAGGAAAAGUCUCUAAGCUUCAGAUAAGUUUGAACCGUACUCCAAACCAACACAGGUGGACAGGUAGAGAAUACCAAGGCGCUUGAGAGAACUCGGGUGAAGGAACUAGGCAAAUUGGCACCGUAACUUCGGAAGAAGGUGCGCCGACUUGGGUGAUGGGACUUGCUCCCUGAGCUUGGGUUGGUCGAAGAUACCAGGUGGCUGCGACUGUUUAUCAAAAACAUAGCACUCUGCAAACACGUAAGUGGAAGUAUAGGGUGUGACCCCUGCCCGGUGCCGGAAGGUUAAUUGAUGGGGUUAGUUUUCGGACGAAGCUCUUGAUCGAAGCCCCGGUGAACGGCGGCCGUAACUAUAACGGUCCUAAGGUAGCGAAAUUCCUUGUCGGGUAAGUUCCGACCUGCACGAAUGGCGUAACGAUGGCCACACUGUCUCCACCCGAGACUCAGUGAAAUUGAAUUUGCUGUGAAGAUGCAGUGUACCCGCGGCUAGACGGAAAGACCCCGUGCACCUUUACUACAGCUUUGCACUGAACUUUGAACUUAUUUGUGUAGGAUAGGUGGGAGACUUUGAAACGCAGGCGCUAGCUUGCGUGGAGUCACCCUUGAAAUACCACCCUGGUAAGUUUGAGGUUCUAACCUUGGUCCGUUAUCCGGAUUAGGGACAGUGUAUGGUGGGUAGUUUGACUGGGGCGGUCUCCUCCCAAAGAGUAACGGAGGAGCACGAAGGUACUCUCGGCAUGGUCGGAAAUCAUGCUAUGAGUGUAAAGGCAUAAGAGUGCUUGACUGCGAGAUUGACGAAUCGAGCAGGUGGGAAACCAGGUCUUAGUGAUCCGGUGGCACUGCAUGGU